This 529-nucleotide ribosomal RNA is filed under the name uncultured Polaribacter sp. RNAcentral describes it as "bacterial SSU rRNA". It matches the Rfam family "Bacterial small subunit ribosomal RNA", at positions 72 to 599 of the family's 1533-position model. The record is from RNAcentral. Lineage: Bacteria; Pseudomonadati; Bacteroidota; Flavobacteriia; Flavobacteriales; Flavobacteriaceae.
CAUUGUGCUUGCACAGAUGACGACCGGCGCACGGGUGCGUAACGCGUAUAGAACCUACCUUUUACAGAGGAAUAGCCUUUAGAAAUGAAGAUUAAUGCCUCAUAGUAUUGUAGACUGGCAUCAGUUUAUAAUUAAAGAUUUAUCGGUAAAAGAUGGCUAUGCGUCCUAUUAGUUAGUUGGUAAGGUAACGGCUUACCAAGACAGCGAUAGGUAGGGGUCCUGAGAGGGAGAUCCCCCACACUGGUACUGAGACACGGACCAGACUCCUACGGGAGGCAGCAGUGAGGAAUAUUGGACAAUGGAGGAGACUCUGAUCCAGCCAUGCCGCGUGUAGGAAGAAUGCCCUAUGGGUUGUAAACUACUUUUAUACAGGAAGAAACACUGGUAUGUAUACCAGCUUGACGGUACUGUAAGAAUAAGGACCGGCUAACUCCGUGCCAGCAGCCGCGGUAAUACGGAGGGUCCGAGCGUUAUCCGGAAUCAUUGGGUUUAAAGGGUCCGCAGGCGGUCGAUUAAGUCAGAGGUGAAA